UGAGGAAUUUUCCGCAAUGGACGCAAGUCUGACGGAGCAACGCCGCGUGCAGGAAGACGGCCUUCGGGUUGUGAAAUCUGCAUUUUCUUGAGAGACGAGCAAGGACGGUAUCUCAGGAAGAAGCCCCAGGCCUGAACUACGUGCCAGCAGCCGCGGUAAUACGUAGGGGGCGAGCGUUGUCCGGAGUGACUGGGCGUAAAGGGCUUGUAGGCGGUGAUGCGCGUCAACCGGGCCAGCUGGCAGCUUCCCUGCCGGAGAGCGGUUGAAACGGCAUGACUUGAGGGCGAGAGAGGGACAUGGAACUCCGGGUGGAGUGGUGAAAUGCGUAGAGAUCCGGAAGAACACCAAAGGCGAAGGCAGUGUCC
Molecule: ribosomal RNA, 365 nt
Filed under: uncultured Ktedonobacter sp.
Lineage: Bacteria; Bacillati; Chloroflexota; Ktedonobacteria; Ktedonobacterales; Ktedonobacteraceae
Description: bacterial SSU rRNA
Rfam family: Bacterial small subunit ribosomal RNA
Source: RNAcentral